This is a long non-coding RNA of Gadus morhua (Atlantic cod), 500 nucleotides long. RefSeq lists it as uncharacterized. The transcript is spliced from 3 exons. The record is from RefSeq and is a predicted model, not a curated record. Lineage: Eukaryota; Metazoa; Chordata; Actinopteri; Gadiformes; Gadidae.
CCUGCCUGGUGGAGGAGCUGACGGAGGCCCUGCCUGGUGGAGGAUGUCUGUCGUGGGGACUCUGGUUUGGAGGAGAGCUGAUGGGGAGCUGAUGGAGGAGCUGAGUCGCUGGAGGACGACUAGGAAUCGACCAACAAGGAUUCCUCAACGUGUUUCUGGAGCGGAGGCGAGCUGAUAGGGGAGCCGUGAAUCUGGAGGAUGACGUCACUCUACCAACAUGGAUUGUAACUUUGUAUUAACCUGUAUCAACAAAGUGGAAAUAAAGGGCUUAAAAUUAAGACGAACUACAAGUUUGUUACCAGACGUUGGGACCAGACUUGCGCUUUUUGUUUCAGACCAGGACUCUGGCUGAGGAGAGCUGAUGGAGGAGCCAUAAAGUAAGCAGAGUGGACUUAACGCAGGAUUAGUUUGUCCAGUAGAAGUUAAGGCGUACUACUGUGGUUGGUUACCAGACAAACUACAGCUGCUACUUUGUAACGCGCCAUUAGAUCCCAACUACU